GUCUGGUUCGGCAGCACAUAUACUAAAAUUGGAACAAUACAAAGAAGGUUAGCAUGGCCCCUGAGCAAGGAUGACACAUGCAACAGCCAAUUGGAGUGUAGGCAU
Heteronotia binoei (common prickly gecko) is the source of this 105-nucleotide small nuclear RNA. Lineage: Eukaryota; Metazoa; Chordata; Lepidosauria; Squamata; Gekkonidae. The record is from RefSeq and is a predicted model, not a curated record.